GACAGAGGGUGCAAACGUUGUUCGGAAUUACUGGGCGUAAAGCGCGUGUAGGCGGUCAGGCAAGUCGGAUGUGAAAUCCCGUGGCUCAACUACGGAAGUGCACCCGAAACUGCUUGACUUGAGUCCCGGAGAGGAAGGCGGAAUGCUUGGUGUAGAGGUGAAAUUCGUAGAUAUCAAGCGGAACACCGGUGGCGAAGGCGGCCUUCUGGACGAGGACUGACGCUGAGACGCGAAAGCGUGGGGAGCAAACAGGAUUAGAUACCCUGGUAGUCCACGCCGUAAACGAUGAGUGCUAGGUGUCACGGGCUUUGACCCCUGUGGUGCCGUAGCUAACGCAGUAAGUACUCCGCCUGGGGAGUACGGCCGCAAGGCUAAA
This 376-nucleotide ribosomal RNA is filed under the name uncultured bacterium. RNAcentral's name for it is "bacterial SSU rRNA". It matches the Rfam family "Bacterial small subunit ribosomal RNA", at positions 524 to 898 of the family's 1533-position model. The record is from RNAcentral.